UGGGGAGUGACGUCAAGUCCUCAUGGCCCUUAUGGGUAGGGCUUCACACGUCAUACAAUGGUCGGUACAGAGGGUUGCCAAGCCGCGAGGCGGAGCCAAUCCCACAAAGCCGAUCGUAGUCCGGAUUGUUCUCUGCAACUCGAGAGCAUGAAGUCGGAAUCGCUAGUAAUCGCAGGUCAGCAUACUGCGGUGAAUACGUUCCCGGGUCUU
This 210-nucleotide ribosomal RNA is filed under the name uncultured Thiobacillus sp. Its description in RNAcentral is "partial 16S ribosomal RNA". It matches the Rfam family "Bacterial small subunit ribosomal RNA", at positions 1173 to 1382 of the family's 1533-position model. Lineage: Bacteria; Pseudomonadati; Pseudomonadota; Betaproteobacteria; Nitrosomonadales; Thiobacillaceae. The record is from RNAcentral.